This 254-nucleotide ribosomal RNA is filed under the name uncultured bacterium. RNAcentral's name for it is "partial 16S ribosomal RNA". It matches the Rfam family "Bacterial small subunit ribosomal RNA", at positions 524 to 776 of the family's 1533-position model. The record is from RNAcentral.
UACGUAGGGGGCGAGCGUUGUCCGGAUUUAUUGGGCGUAAAACGCUUGUAGGCGGCCACAUCGCGUCGGACGUGAAAUCUCCCGGCUCAACUGGGAGGGGUCGUGCGAUACGGAUGGGCUCGAGGCCGGUAGGGGGACGCGGAAUUCCCGGUGUAGCGGUGAAAUGCGUAGAUAUUGGGAGGAACACCAGUGGCGAAGGCGGCUCACUGGACCGGUACUGACGCUGAUGCGCGAAAGCGUGGGGAGCAAACGGG